Molecule: ribosomal RNA, 494 nt
Filed under: uncultured bacterium
Lineage: Bacteria
Description: partial 16S ribosomal RNA
Rfam family: Bacterial small subunit ribosomal RNA
Source: RNAcentral
GACGAACGCUGGCGGCGUGCUUAACACAUGCCAGUCGAACGGUGAAGCGCCUUCCUUUUUGGUGGGUGUGGAUGAGUGGCGAACGGGUGAGUAACACGUGAGUAACCUGCCCCCUUCUUCUGGAUAACCGCAUGAAAGUGUGGCUAAUACGGGAUAUUCUGGGUCUGUCGCAUGAUGGGUCUGGGAAAGAUAUUGUUUCGGUGGGGGAUGGGUUCGCGGCCUAUCAGCUUGUUGGUGGGGUGAUGGCCUACCAAGGCGGUGACGGGUAGCCGGCCUGAGAGGGUGGACGGUCACACUGGGACUGAGACACGGCCCAGACUCCUACGGGAGGCAGCAGUGGGGAAUAUUGCACAAUGGGCGCAAGCCUGAUGCAGCGACGCCGCGUGAGGGAUGGAGGCCUUCGGGUUGUGAACCUCUUUCGCCAGUGAAGCAGGCCUGCCUCGUUUGUGGGUGGGUUGACGGUAGCUGGAUAAGAAGCGCCGGCUAACUACGUG